AGAGUUUGAUCCUGGCUCAGAACUAACGCUGGCGGCGUGGCUAAGACAUGCAAGUCGAACGGAGUAUAUGAUUGAGUAAUCAUGACUAUAUUUAGUGGCGCAAGGGCGAGGAAUAAAUAGGUAACGUACCCUGAACUCCAGGAUAGCGUCUCGAAAGGGGCAGUAAUACUGGAUAAUAUGAUUUAUUUAAUUUAAAUCAUCAAAGAUUUAUCUGUUUGGGAGCGGCCUAUUUCCCAUCAGCUUGUUGGUAAGGUAACGGCUUACCAAGGCAACGACGGAUAUCGGGACUGAGAGGUUGACCCGACGCAUCGGAACUGAGACACUGUCCGGACCUCCACGGAGGGCUGCAGUAACGAAUAUUGCACAAUGAACGAAAGUUUGAUGCAGCAACGCCGCGUGUAGGAUGAAGCUCCUUGGAGUGUAAACUACUGUCAGGGGUCAGAAAGUGCGCUUAGGCGUAUUGAUCACCCCCAGAGGAAGUCACGGCUAACUUCGUGCCAGCAGCCGCGGUAAUACGAAGGUGGCGAGCGUUGUUCGGAAUUAUUGGGCUUAAAGAGCACGUAGGCGGAUCAGAAAGUGUCUUGUGAAAACCCCCGGCUUAACCGGGGAAUUGCUUGGCAAACUUCUAGAUCUUGAGUCAAGUAGGGGUACAUGGAACUCUUAGUGGAGCGGUGGAAUGCGUAGAUAUUAAGUGGAACGCCAAUGGUGAAGACAGUGUACUGGGCUUGUACUGACGCUGAGGUGCGAAAGCGUGGGGAGCGAACGGGAUUAGAUACCCCGGUAGUCCACGCCGUAAACGAUGUCUACUAGGUUGUGGGAGUUCUGACACCUUCACAGCCGAAGCAAAAGUGUUAAGUAGACCGCCUGGGGAGUACGGUCGCAAGGCUAAAACUCAAAGGAAUUGACGGGGGCUCACACAAGCGGUGGAGCAUGUGGAUUAAUUCGAAACAACGCGCAGAACCUUACCUGGGUUUGACACGUUUGGAUGCCUAUCUGGAAACAGAGUCGGCUGCCUUAGGGUGAAACUUACACAGGUGCUGCAUGGCUGUCGUCAGCUCGUGUCGUGAGAUGUCGGGUUAAGUCCUUUAACGAGCGAAACCCUUACCGUUAGUUGCCAGCGCGUCAUGGCGGGGACUCUAGCGGGACUGCCGGUGUCAAACCGGAGGAAGGCGGGGAUGACGUCAAGUCCUCAUGGCCUUUAUGCCCAGGGCUUCACACGUGCUACAAUGGUAACUACAAAGCGAAGCAAGACCGCGAGGUGGAGCAAAUCGCAAAAAAGUUGCCCCAGUUCGGAUUGCAGGCUGUCAACUCGCCUGCAUGAAGUUGGAAUCGCUAGUAAUCGCGUAUCAGCUAUGACGCGGUGAAUGUGUUCCUGAGCCUUGUACACACCGCCCGUCAAGUGAUGGAAGUCGGGAGCACCCGAAGUCGAAUUGCUAACCUUUUAUUAGGAGGCGUUUGCCGACGGUGAGUUCGAUGACUGGCACUAAGUCGAAACAAGGUA
Molecule: ribosomal RNA, 1501 nt
Filed under: metagenome
Description: bacterial SSU rRNA
Rfam family: Bacterial small subunit ribosomal RNA
Source: RNAcentral